Molecule: microRNA, 23 nt
Filed under: Capitella teleta
Lineage: Eukaryota; Metazoa; Annelida; Polychaeta; Capitellidae
Description: cte-miR-2a
Gene: cte-miR-2a
Source: miRBase by way of RNAcentral
UAUCACAGCCCGCUUUGUUGACU